UAUUUCCGUUGUUGUUCUUGACCUGUCACCUAAUUUUCUGCCGUAUGUUUCUGUCUCUGUGGAGGUUAUUUCCGUUGUUUCUGUUAUUUCCGUUAUAUCCGUUAUUUCCGUUAUUAUUUCCAUUAUUUUUUUCUGUUAUUUCCGUUAUUAUUUCCGUAAUUUCGUUUUUUUCUGUUAUUUCCGUUGUUGUUCUUGACCUGUCAUUUAAUUUUCUGCUGUAAUUUUCACUCUUUGUGGAGGUUAUAAUUGUUAUUUCCGUUACUUCAGUUAUUUCCGUUGUUGUUCUCGACCUGUCAUUUAAUUUUCUGCCGUAUGUAUCUGUCUCUUUGGAGGUUAUUUCCUUUAUUUCUUUUCUCUCAGUUCUUUCCUUUCUUUCCGUUCUUUCAGUUAUUUCCUUUGUUGUUCUAGACCUGUCACUUAAUUUUCUGCCGUAUGUUUCUGUCUCUGUGGAGGUUAUUUCCGUUAUUUCCGUUAUAUCCAUUAUUUCCGUUAUUAUUUCCGUUUUUUUUUUUUCUGUUAUUAUUCCCAUUAUUUUUUUUGUUAUUUCUGUUAUUACUUCUGUUAUUUCCGUUAUUAUUUCCGUUAUUUUGGUUUUUUUUUUUAUUUCCGUUGAUGUUCUUGACCUCUCACCUAAUUUUUUGCCGUAUGUUUCUUUCUCUCUGGAGGCUAUUUCCAUUAUUUCCGUUAUUUCCGUUGUUGUUCUUGACCUGUCAACUAAGUUUCUGCCGUAUGUUUCUGUCUUCAAAGGUUAUUUCCGUUAUUUCCGUUAUUUCCAUUAUUUCCCUUGUCGUUCAUGACCUGUCAGUUAAUUUUCUGCCGUAAUUUUCUGUCUCUGUGGAGGUUCUAUCAAUUAUUGCCGUUAUUUUCGUUAUUUCCGUUAUUUCCGUUGUUUUUGACCUGUCACCUAAUUUUCUGCCGUAUGUUUCUGUCUCUGUGGAGGUUAUUACCGUUAUUUCUGUUAUUUCUGUUAUUUCCGUUGUUGUUCAUGACCUGUCAGGUAAUUUUCUGCCGUAUGUUUCUGUCUCUGUGGAGGUUAUUUCCAUUAUUUCCGUUAUUUCCGUUAUUUCUUUUAUUUCCGUUAUUUCCGUUGUUGUUCUUGACCUGUCACCUAAUUUUCUGCCGUAUGUUUCUGUCUUUCGGAGUUUAUUUCUGUUAUUUCCGUUAUUUCCAUUAUUUCCGUUAUUUCCAUUAUUUCCGUUGUUGUUCUUGACCUGUCACCUAAUUUUCUGCCGUAUGUUUCAUUCUCUCUGGAGGUUCUUUCCGGUAUUUCCGUUCUUUCCGUUGUUGUUCUUGACUUGUCACCUAAUUUUCUGCCUUAUGUUUCUGUCUUUCGAAGGUUAUUUCCGUUAUUUCUGUUAUUUCCGUUAUUUCCGUUGUUGUUCUUGACAUGUCAGUUAAUUUUCUGCCGUAUGUUUCUGUCUCCGUGGAGGUUAUUUCCAUUAUUUCCGUUAUUUCCUUUCUUUCCGUUUUUUUCCGUUUUUGUUUUUUGUUUUUUCUGUUUUUUCCGUUAUUUCCGUUUUUUUCGUUGUUGUUCUUGACCUUUCACCUAAUUUUCUGCUGUAUGUUUCUGUCUUGGUGGCGGUUACUUCCGUUGUUUCCAUUAUUUUUGUUUUUUAUGUUAUUUCCGUUGUUGUUCUUGACCUGUC
Long non-coding RNA from Gallus gallus (chicken), 1646 nucleotides. Lineage: Eukaryota; Metazoa; Chordata; Aves; Galliformes; Phasianidae. The record is from Ensembl.